CAGAUACUCCCUCCGUCCGGAAAUACUUGUCAUCAAAAUGGAUAAAAAAGGAUGUAUCUACAACUAAUAUACAUCUAGAUACAUCUCCUUUUAUUCGUUUUGAUGACAAGUAUUUCCGGACGGAGGUAGUAUCAA
Triticum aestivum (bread wheat) is the source of this 135-nucleotide non-coding RNA. The record is from Rfam. Lineage: Eukaryota; Viridiplantae; Streptophyta; Magnoliopsida; Poales; Poaceae.